GAUGAAGAACGCAGCGAAAUGCGAUACGUAAUGUGAAUUGCAGAAUUCAGUGAAUCAUCGAGUCUUUGAACGCACAUUGCGCCCCCUGGUAUUCCGGGGGGCAUGCCUGUCCGAGCGUCAUUGCUGCCCUCAAGCACGGCUUGUGUGUUGGGCCUCCGUCCUCCUUCCGGGGGACGGGCCCGAAAGGCAGCGGCGGCACCGCGUCCGGUCCUCGAGCGUAUGGGGCUUCGUCACCCGCUCUUGUAGGCCCGGCCGGCGCUUGCCGACACAUCAAUCUUUUUUCCAGGUUGACCUCGGAUCAGGUAGGGAUACCCGCUGAACUUAAGCAUAUCAAUAAGCGGAGGA
Molecule: unclassified non-coding RNA, 345 nt
Filed under: soil metagenome
Description: partial contains 5.8S ribosomal RNA, internal transcribed spacer 2, and large subunit ribosomal RNA
Rfam family: 5.8S ribosomal RNA (bases 1-120)
Source: RNAcentral